GCGUGUUAGCACAUGUUAGCGAUAUGCAAAGAGUUGCAAUGCUUUUUACCUGUCAGUGCAUGGACUCACCUUGAAGACGCCAGCAGUCAGUCGCAGUCUGAGCGGAGGAAGCUAACGUUGACACAGCUCUGGACCUCGGGUCAAGAAGAGAUGUCGGCCAACUCCUCCUCCAACUCGUCCUUCAGUUUCUUUCUCAAAACGUGCUUUGAUUCCAGAACCACCAACUUCAUUUAUUUGUCUUUUUCCAUGGCCAACAUCGCCCUCCUCCUCCCCCUCUUCGUUUACACCCUCGUGCUGGGCCUCCGGCAGAGACGACGUCCGUCCAGUUCAGACUUCUUCACCUACAACGUGCUUGUUCUGGAGCUGCUGGCCAUGUUGGGCUCCUGCCUUUACUGCUUCGGUGCCUACGCUCCGGACCCGGUGCUGGCGCUGGUGGGGUCGUCCAUCUGCUCCAUCACCUCCCCCGCACAGACCCUGUUCCACGUCCUGACCAGCGUGGAGCGCUACCUGGCCGUGGUCCGGCCCGUCACCUACCUGGGCCUGAGACGGGCCGGGGCCCUGAGGGUCCGGAACGCCAGCGCCGGCUGCGUGUGGCUGCUGUGUUGUGCACUAAUGGCCUGCUCCAUGUACUGGAGCUACGCAUUUGCUGCGGUGGCGCUUCUGCUCCUGGUUUCCUCCCUGGCGGUCGUCGCUCUGUCGGGGUUUUCCAUCCUGUGCGUCCUGAAUGACGGGGGUCCGGGGCAGGUUGGCGGCGCGCGGCGGCGGGCGUGUCACGCUGUCAUGGCCGUCAUGGCGGCUCUGACGCUGAGGUUGGCCGGGGUCCUGGUCUGCACUGUGGCGUUCUCGUCUCCACAGCUGACGCACGCCGUGUGCGCCCUGGGCGGCGCCGCCGUGUGGCUCACGCUGCCCUGCAGCCUGGUGCUGCCGCUGCUGCUCCUGCAGAGAGCUGGAAAACUGCCCGGCUGCAGACGCAGCACCAGCUCAGGCUGAGGCAUCAGAGCCAGAUCAUAUCCAGUCAGGUUCCAGCAUUUUACCCAGAAAGAAUCAUCUGCUGUGGCCUUUAGGGGACAGGGUUUCAUCUUUUAGCUCCGUGUGUAAAACACAACUUCAGAUAUUUAAGUCAAGUUACAUUUUACUGUUAGUCAUAUAUGUUUCACAAAU
RNAcentral lists this long non-coding RNA (1161 nucleotides) under Betta splendens (Siamese fighting fish). Its description in RNAcentral is "lncRNA (ENSBSLG00000006555.1)". The record is from RNAcentral. Lineage: Eukaryota; Metazoa; Chordata; Actinopteri; Anabantiformes; Osphronemidae.